AUGUUGCAGGCUCAUUUAUUGUUAAUAAAUGAUAAUGCGGAAAAUAAAUUAUCAAAUAAUAUUGGGCAAAACAAUACUUGUUUUGGGCUUGUUUUUGAAGCUCCAGUUGCUUAUUUGUCUCGCAAGAGUUGGCAACUGUGGAUUCAUGUCUCAUGUCCACAACUUGGGAACACACAGCCCUUGAUAUUUAUACAGAACUUGGGCCGUUGGCAGUGGGAGUUCCUCUACGUUACCUAGACAGGGAAAGGACAUUUUAGAUAUGAUCCAGAUGUUUGCAUACUGCUUAUGAGUGAUGUUUCUGUUGAGUGGAGUUGAAUAACGUUUCUGAUGGACUCUAUAAUUAGGAAAAGAUGAGAGGGUAAGUUUAGCAUCAAACGACAAUUUGCACAUUAACAGUUUUGCGUGUUUGUUUUAAACACCAAAUUCACAGUUAACACAAAGUCUGAACUGUUC
Molecule: long non-coding RNA, 453 nt
Filed under: Carassius auratus (goldfish)
Lineage: Eukaryota; Metazoa; Chordata; Actinopteri; Cypriniformes; Cyprinidae
Description: lncRNA (ENSCARG00000052668.1)
Source: RNAcentral